RNAcentral lists this transfer RNA (66 nucleotides) under Vargula hilgendorfii (sea firefly). Its description in RNAcentral is "tRNA-Ser". Lineage: Eukaryota; Metazoa; Arthropoda; Ostracoda; Myodocopida; Cypridinidae. The record is from RNAcentral.
GACUGUAAAGCUCAAGGAGUUUUAAUUUUGAACAUUAAAGGAGGCGUAUAAUAAUGUCUACAGUUU